This 268-nucleotide long non-coding RNA is filed under the name Eucalyptus grandis. RNAcentral describes it as "long non-coding RNA (EGRA_LNC007453)". Lineage: Eukaryota; Viridiplantae; Streptophyta; Magnoliopsida; Myrtales; Myrtaceae. The record is from RNAcentral.
AAUAGCAAUAUUAGCGUAACCCAAGUCCCCGAACCUAGAUAUCUGGUUGCGUAGGAAUCGAGGGAACACUCCCGACCCUCGAUUGGGUUUCUAGCCGACCCCCAAAGUUGAGGCUAGUGGCGACUCAUGUAUAUUCUUAGGUUGUUAAAUACCUAGAUCGCAUAAUAAACCUACUGUCACGCGGGGUACGAGCUUGGGAGAGCUCGCGAUCUUGAGAUCAAGUAUCCCUAAACCCGACCUUUCCCAACCUUGGAUACAUUUCGAGGGG